Molecule: ribosomal RNA, 373 nt
Filed under: uncultured Cytophagia bacterium
Lineage: Bacteria; Pseudomonadati; Bacteroidota; Cytophagia
Description: bacterial SSU rRNA
Rfam family: Bacterial small subunit ribosomal RNA
Source: RNAcentral
UAAUACGGAGGGUGCAAGCGUUGUCCGGAUUUAUUGGGUUUAAAGGGUGCGUAGGCGGUACGCUCAGUCAGUGGUGAAAUCCCGCAGCUUAACUGCGGAACUGCCAUUGAUACUGGCGUACUUGAGUACAGACGAGGUAGGCGGAAUUUAUGGUGUAGCGGUGAAAUGCAUAGAUACCAUAAAGAACACCGAUAGCGAAGGCAGCUUACUAGACUGUAACUGACGCUCAGGCACGAAAGCGUGGGGAGCGAACAGGAUUAGAUACCCUGGUAGUCCACGCCGUAAACGAUGAUCACUCGAUGUGUGCGAUAAACUGUACGCGUCCAAGCGAAAGCGUUAAGUGGUCCACCUGGGGAGUACGUUCGCAAGAAUG